AGGGAUCAUUAUUGAAUGGCCCCUGUGCCUUCGACCCUCAAAACCGUGGAAGAGACACGUGCUUCGGCGCCCCAGGCGUCGUCUUUAUGCAACAAGUCCGUCUUGACGUCUGAAUUGAAAAUGGAAAAUCAAAACUUUCAACAAAGGAUCUCUUGGCUCUCGCAUCGAUGAAGAACGUAGUGAAGCGCGAAAUGUAGUGUGAAUCGCAGAACAUUGUGAAUCAUCGAAUCUUUGAACGCACAUUGCGCCUCCCUUCACGGGGGGGCAUGCCUGUCUGAGCGUCAUUUAAGUCGAUAGGCCCGAUCGGGUCUGUGUUGGGCCUCGCACGUCAGGGCGUCGCCUCGAAUGAAUCGGUCGAAUGUGCGGACGAGAUCCAUUAGGACUGACCGUUCAGAGACCAUAAACCUCUGAUUUGACCUCAGAUCAGGUAGGGACACCGCCUGAACUUAAGCAUAUCAAUAAGGCGAGGAACAGAAACCAACAGGGAUUCCCUCAGUAGUGGCGAAUGAAGCGGGAAAAGCUCAAGUUUGAAAUCUGGAGGCGACUUCAGAGUUGUAAGCUGAAGAGGUGUCGACCGACGCGGUCCGGGCCCAAUUUCCUUGGAACAGGAGGUCAUGGAGGGUGAGAACCCCGUCCGUGGCUCGGGAGCCGAUGUCCUUGUGUCGUAUCCUCGAAGAGUCGGGUUGUUUGGGAAUGCAGCUCAAAAUGGGUGGUAAAUUUCAUCUAAAGCUAAAUACUGGCGAGAGACCGAUAGCAAACAAGUAGAGUGAUCGAAAGAUGAAAAGUACUUUGAAAAGAGAGUGAAACAGUACGUGAAAUUGUUGAAAGGGAAGCGUUUGGCAUCAGCCCUCGGCGCUCGACGAUCAUCUGGGCUUCAUGUCCGGUGCACUUGUCGAACGUCGGGCCAGCGUCGGCUUUGCCCAUGGGAGAAAGGUGUGAGGGAUGUGGCUCCCUUCGGGGAGCGUUAUAACCCCAUACGUCAUACUAUGUGGCGGGGCCGAGGUCCGCGGUCAAUCCUAGGACGCUGGCGUAAUGGUUCCAAGCGACC
RNAcentral lists this ribosomal RNA (1048 nucleotides) under uncultured Archaeorhizomycetes. RNAcentral's name for it is "eukaryotic LSU rRNA". The stretch from base 414 to 1048 matches the Rfam family "Eukaryotic large subunit ribosomal RNA", at positions 1 to 649 of the family's 3401-position model. The record is from RNAcentral. Lineage: Eukaryota; Fungi; Ascomycota; Archaeorhizomycetes.